This 74-nucleotide transfer RNA is filed under the name Mycoplasmataceae bacterium. RNAcentral describes it as "tRNA-Gly". It matches the Rfam family "tRNA". From Rfam's summary of the family: Transfer RNA (tRNA) molecules are approximately 80 nucleotides in length. Their secondary structure includes four short double-helical elements and three loops (D, anti-codon, and T loops). Lineage: Bacteria; Bacillati; Mycoplasmatota; Mollicutes; Mycoplasmatales; Mycoplasmataceae. The record is from RNAcentral.
GCAGAUGUAGUUCAGUGGUAGAACGCAACCUUGCCAAGGUCGAGAUGCGAGUUCGAUUCUCGUCAUCUGCUCCA